GACGAACGCUGGCGGCGUGCCUAAUGCAUGCAAGUAGAACGCUGAAGGAGGAGCUUGCUCUUCUGGAUGAGUUGCGAACGGGUGAGUAACGCGUAGGUAACCUGCCUGGUAGCGGGGGAUAACUAUUGGAAACGAUAGCUAAUACCGCAUAACAGUAGAUGUUGCAUGACAUUUGCUUAAAAGGUGCAAUUGCACCACUACCAGAUGGACCUGCGUUGUAUUAGCUAGUUGGUGGGGUAACGGCUCACCAAGGCGACGAUACAUAGCCGACCUGAGAGGGUGAUCGGCCACACUGGGACUGAGACACGGCCCAGACUCCUACGGGAGGCAGCAGUAGGGAAUCUUCGGCAAUGGACGGAAGUCUGACCGAGCAACGCCGCGUGAGUGAAGAAGGUUUUCGGAUCGUAAAGCUCUGUUGUAAGAGAAGAACGAGUGUGAGAGUGGAAAGUUCACACUGUGACGGUAUCUUACCAGAAAGGGACGGCUAACUACGUG
This 495-nucleotide ribosomal RNA is filed under the name uncultured bacterium. Its description in RNAcentral is "partial 16S ribosomal RNA". It matches the Rfam family "Bacterial small subunit ribosomal RNA", at positions 28 to 507 of the family's 1533-position model. The record is from RNAcentral.